AAAGGUCUGAGUUUUCAAAGGAAUUCUAACCCAGAAAAGUAAAAAAUACAUGUAAUAUUUUCAUUAUGAGAGUGAUAUACAUAACCUUUUUCAGCCUCUUUGACUCUCUCUCUCUUUUUGGUUUUAUUUUGCUUUAUUUGAUUUUCUGUUUGUAGAUUAGGGAAGUUGGGACUGAUAUCAUGAAAUGCCCUCCAAUAUUUUAAUUCUUAAAAUGUAUUUCUACCUCUUCUAUUUCCUAUUUCUGUACUCUCAGUGCCAGGCUAACUAUGUGUGUAUGUGUGUGUAGAAUUGUAUCAUUUGACUCUUACAAAAAUCUUUGAACGUUGUUUGUGGGUGGUAAUGUUCUCAUUUUAUAAGGAGGAAAACAGAACCUCAGAAAGAGUUAAUGACUUGGCCAGGGUCACACAACUAAUAAGCAUUAACAUGAGACUCAACUCCAAAUUCUGAGACCCACCCCUAGUAUUCGCUUUCCUGAAUGCUAUGGGGUUAGGUGAAGAGGUGGAGAAGUUAGGGGGAAAAAAAGAGAUGAAAGAAAACAGUGUAGUACUUGGUGGUGUGCUGGAAAAUGUUUACAAGCUGGCUGAGGGUAAGGGAUAGCCUGAUUUGUAGUGUUCAUUAAUUUCCCUGGUGUAAUUAUGCCCAUAGUUUCAUCCUAUGGUGUGAUGUCACUGAAGGAGGAGUUGGGAAGUAACGAUCCAGUAUGAAUCUAGCAUACCACCGGUGUGUUUAACCACUGAAAAUAAUGAGAAAACCCCUACAAAGAAUGCUCCACUCCAUUCAACAUGGUGACAGCAUUAAUUUGCCCCAGACUACAUAAAUGAGAGAAGGUAAACCAUGGAUUCAGUGGACUGCCCUGAACAUUCCCUGAAACUUCAUCAAUUAUAAAAACUCUUCUUACCUGCUCUGGAUAUCCAUCCAUACUCCUUUGCCCUUUAGUUUGAAUUAAGCACCGUCCAGGCUGAGGUCCCCGGGUGGCCUGUGAAGAGGGGAUCUGAAUAGGCAAUGGUGACUGAAAUUGCUGGAUGGUCACUUUGUUUAUAUUUCCCUCAUAUGGCUGCUGCUCCCGGCUCCGAUGCUGAAGGCUUUGGGACCCCAUCAAAGUCUGGAUGUGGCUUCCUGCCUGUGGAGAAGAUAAUUUGUCAGACGAAGAUUCAUGGUGUUGAAAGGAUGUGAUUAAAGUAGAAAACACGUACAGAAUACCUCUCUGGUAAAGUGGCAUCAUUUGGGCUCUCAGCCACUGCUGGAAAGGAUAAUGAAAAAACAGUAAGGGUCUGCCUACUGUGGUUUGUGAAAAUGUUAAUGUUGGAGCAAGGUUGCAAUAAAUACAUUCAUAGUCAUUUGAUGUCUUGCCACAGAUUAUUUUGUCCCUGAUUUUAAGGGAGCAAAAUUCUCCCUGAAAAAUUUCAAGAAGAAAAAGAAGUCACAACUUAAAAAUAAAGUGGAGUUCUAUCUGGCAUUUUAUU
Acinonyx jubatus (cheetah) is the source of this 1463-nucleotide long non-coding RNA. RefSeq lists it as uncharacterized. NCBI's taxonomy places the organism in Eukaryota, Metazoa, Chordata, Mammalia, Carnivora, Felidae. The record is from RefSeq and is a predicted model, not a curated record. The transcript is spliced from 2 exons.